UACGUAGGGUGCGAGCGUUGUCCGGAAUUAUUGGGCGUAAAGGGCUCGUAGGCGGUUUGUCACGUCAGGAGUGAAAACUCGGGGCUCAACCCCGAGCCUGCUUCUGAUACGGGCAGACUGGAGGUAUGCAGGGGAGAACGAAUUCCUGGUGUAGCGGUGAAAUGCGCAGAUAUCAGGAGGAACACCGGUGGCGAAGGCGGUUCUCUGGGCAUUACCUGACGCUGAGGAGCGAAAGUGUGGGGAGCGAACAGG
RNAcentral lists this ribosomal RNA (252 nucleotides) under uncultured bacterium. RNAcentral describes it as "partial 16S ribosomal RNA". It matches the Rfam family "Bacterial small subunit ribosomal RNA", at positions 524 to 776 of the family's 1533-position model. The record is from RNAcentral.